The sequence is a transfer RNA, 76 nucleotides long. It matches the Rfam family "tRNA". Rfam says of the family: Transfer RNA (tRNA) molecules are approximately 80 nucleotides in length. Their secondary structure includes four short double-helical elements and three loops (D, anti-codon, and T loops).
CGGGGCGUAGCGCAGGUGGUAGCGCGCUUGCUUUGGGAGCAAGAUGCCGCAGGUUCGAGUCCUGUCGCCCCGACCA